This is a long non-coding RNA of Mustela erminea (ermine), 568 nucleotides long. RefSeq lists it as uncharacterized. The record is from RefSeq and is a predicted model, not a curated record. The transcript has 3 exons. Lineage: Eukaryota; Metazoa; Chordata; Mammalia; Carnivora; Mustelidae.
GAGUCUGGAGGGGCAGAGAAGUCAAUGGGAUGAUUUGAAAUGAGAGAUCAAUGCUAACCGGGUCCUUCCCAUAUUAGCCUUCAAGGAGGAAAUAUAAAUCAUGCCCUAGGAACACUGGGCAGGACAGGGGGCUGAUGCACCUGAUGGCUGGUUUCUGCACCUGCCAGCAACUGGGACUGGGACACCCCAAACUGGAGAGGCCUAGCCUGCCCUUAGGAUAGCCACAUGCCGCUUUCCUUGCUGAGGGAAUGAAUGGGCUCGGCCCACACACUCUGGACUAUAAUGUUCGCCAAAGAUCACUGCCAUAAUGAGGAAUGGAAACUUCCUCAUUCCCUUCAGGCCCACCCACCUCCCAGGAAGAAUGGAGCUGCUCAUAGCCCAGUGGGAAGAGUGACCACAGCAAGGGGUCAGACCCUGGCUGUGAAGUCACUUUCUGGACACCCAGGACAGCUCCCAGGGGCCCCUGGGUUGUCAGCCUGCCCCUGGGCCCCCAACUGCAUGAGCCAAGGCUUUAACAGAAUCUGGUGGAGCCUCCCCAGGGCCAGCCCAGCUCACCGAGUCCUGCGCG